AAUGAACGCUGGCGGCAGGCCUAACACAUGCAAGUCGAACGAGUGGCGGACGGGUGAGUAAUGUCUGUGAAACUGCCUGAUGGAGGGGGAUAACUACUGGAAACGGUAGCUAAAACCGCAUAACCUCGGAUGUGCCCAGAUGGGAUUAGCUAGUGGGGGGGGUAAAGGCUCACCUAGGCGACGAUCCCUAGCUGGUCUGAGAGGAUGACCGGCCAAACUGGAACUGAUACACGGGCCAGACUCCUACGGGAGGCAGCAGUGGGGAAUAUUGCACAAUGGGCGCAAGCCUGAUGCAGCCAUGCCGCGUGUGUGAAGAAGGCCUUCGGGUUGUAAAGUACUUUCAGCGGGGAGGCGUUACCCGCAGAAGAAGCACCGGCUAACUCCGUGCCAGCAGCCGCGGUAAUUC
This 406-nucleotide ribosomal RNA is filed under the name uncultured bacterium. RNAcentral describes it as "partial 16S ribosomal RNA". It matches the Rfam family "Bacterial small subunit ribosomal RNA", at positions 29 to 526 of the family's 1533-position model. The record is from RNAcentral.